GCUUCGGUAGCUCGGUGGUAAGAGCGACGAGCUAGCAACCCGGGGCUCGCUCGUUCGAAUCUCCGCCUCGGAUA
Molecule: non-coding RNA, 74 nt
Organism: Acanthoscelides obtectus
Lineage: Eukaryota; Metazoa; Arthropoda; Insecta; Coleoptera; Chrysomelidae
Source: the annotation of a GenBank genome assembly